AUACGGAGGGGGCUAGCGUUGUUCGGAAUUACUGGGCGUAAAGCGUACGUAGGCGGACUGAUCAGUUGGGGGUGUAAUCCCAGGGCUUAACCCUGGAACUGCCUUCAAUACUGUCAGUCUUGAGUUUGGGAGAGGUGAGUGGAAUUCCUAGUGUAGAGGUGAAAUUCAUAGAUAUUCGGAGGAACACCAGUGGCGAAGGCGGCUCACUGGCCCAUUACUGACGCUGAGGUACGAAAGCGUGGGGAGCAAACAGGAUUAGAAACCCUAGUAGUCC
RNAcentral lists this ribosomal RNA (274 nucleotides) under uncultured bacterium. RNAcentral's name for it is "partial 16S ribosomal RNA". It matches the Rfam family "Bacterial small subunit ribosomal RNA", at positions 523 to 796 of the family's 1533-position model. The record is from RNAcentral.